Molecule: ribosomal RNA, 503 nt
Filed under: uncultured bacterium
Lineage: Bacteria
Description: partial 16S ribosomal RNA
Rfam family: Bacterial small subunit ribosomal RNA
Source: RNAcentral
AACGAACGCUGGCGGCGUGCCUAACACAUGCAAGUCGAACGAGAAAGGGGCUUCGGCUCCGAGUAAAGUGGCGCACGGGUGAGUAACACGUGGGUAACCUGCCUCUAAGAUUGGGAUAACUCGUCGAAAGAUGAGCUAAUACCGAAUAAGACCACAGUUCCCGCGGGAACAGGGGUCAAAGGUAGCCUCUGCUUGCAAGCUAUCACUUAGAGAUGGGCCUGCGCACCAUUAGCUAGUUGGUAGGGUAACGGCCUACCAAGGCAAAGAUGGUUAGCUGGUCUGAGAGGAUGAUCAGCCACAAUGGAACUGAGACACGGUCCAGACUCCUACGGGAGGCAGCAGUGGGGAAUAUUGCGCAAUGGGCGAAAGCUUGACGCAGCAACGCCGCGUGAGUGAUGAAGGCCUUCGGGUCGUAAAGCUCUGUCGGGAGGAACGAAUGCUCCUGAGGUUAACAGCCUCGGGAGGUGACGGUACCUUCAAAGGAAGCACCGGCUAACUCUGUG